UUUACCUGUGCUAGUUUCAUGCAGUACCCAUAGAGGCCAGAAGAGGGCACUGGGUCCUUUAGAACCGAUCUAUUCAAAUAGAUGGCCACGUCAGGGCUGGAAAUCCAAGGCAAGUCUCUGGAAGAGCAAGGAGUGAGUGCUCUUCACCUCUGAGCCCUCUCUCAGCCCGCUGGCUGUUCCUAAGAGGUCUGUUUACCUGUGUUAUCUUGACACCACCCUUCUGAGCAGGGGAGGCCCAGAGAGAACUUGAGGAGGAGGGAGAUCGCUGACUUCCUCACUUCCCUGAGUGAUGGAAGUAAAGACAUGUUUGGGAUGUGUGUGUGUGUGUGUGUGUGUGUGUGUGUGUGUGUGUGUGUGUGUGUGUGUGUAGGAUAUAUGUCUGACCCUGUGACAGGCAGAUUACCCAGGUUCUGCACUGGAUGUUUGGCAAUGUAUUCUUCUAGAAAUCUCCAACCCCAGAUAGUCCUGAACCGAGCAAAGAAGCAGGUAAAUCUCCAACCCCAGAUAGUCCUGAACCAAGCAAAGAAGCAGACAGCGAAAGCCAGCUGGGGCUGUCCUAAAACUUUCUCCACACGAGCUUGCAUGUCACAGAGGGGACCUGAAUGUCCCCACCAACAGCAGUGACUUUCUUCGAGUGGAGCUUUUUGGCUAGCUAUUAAAGCAGUAAAAACCAGGGCCUUCCAGGGAAAGCGACCCAGGGUACCCGGCCACAGGCAUCUACUAGCCUCAAGGCCUAUUCCAGUUUGUGCGGCUGGUUACCAAGCCGGUCAGUUGUGCUCUAGCUUUGGCCCUUUGAUAGCCAGCCUGGCUUCGUGGUCACCACUAAGGCAGGGGCCUCCCUGAUGUCACUUCAGGGAAGAGUCAGACCCGGGAGACUUUACAAAUCCUGGUUCACUUCUGUCUCCAUGUCCCCAGGAUUGGAUCUGUAGUGUUGACACAGUUCUUACCCUGCUUCCCACAUUCUGGGUUCCCUAACGUACUAGUCUUGGGGGCUGAGGGAGUAGGGGGAGUUUCCUUGUUGGCCAGAGCUGCAGUUAUGUCAGCCUGCAAUAAAGACUUUUUUCCCCCGAUGGUUGUCGCUUUCUCCUCUCUUCCUUCCUGUUGGCCAUUGAGACUGCAUCUGUGACCAUCUCUUUGCCCAGCCCUGGGUCGGGCCAGCUUCCACACUACAGAGAAUCUAACCAUUGGCCCUGCCACCAGAUGCCCAACCUGUGGCCUCGCUGUUCCCUGCAUGAACCUUUCCUUUUGUGUGUCCUGACCCUGAAAUCUCUCUGGGUGAUGCCUGCUUUUCCACCCCAUGGAAAUGACCUGUCUGCCAGUGCACCAUGCUCACAGAAUCCUCUCCUGACCAUGGGAGUAGAAUAGACAGCUGAUGGACUCUGGCAUCCGAACAUGGAUCUUGACUGAACUGGCCGCUGUCCUCUGUUGACACUCUUGACUAGAGCGUGUCUGAUCACGAUAGCUACUGAACUCUCAACACACACUGUCACCUGUGAAACCACCUCUUUCUGUGACAGUGAAUUUGCAGGUGGCUAAAAACUUCUCAGUACUCCUCCUCACCACCCAAAGCGCUCUGGGGACAGGCACCCCAUUCACUCCUGUUUACAAUGUCUGGCACGUGUUUAUUUUUGGAUAAAGCACCACGGCUAGACUGCCCCCAAUUCUAGUGCCAGUCAUUUCUUUUAGUAUUAAAACUCUAGUUAGAAAAGUAAUAUAUGAGGUUGUAGGGCUGGCUCAGCAGUUGAGCACUGGUUGCUCUUCCAGAGGACCGGGGUUCAGUUCCCAGCACCCACAUGGCAGCCCAUGCCCUCUCCUGGAGUUCUUGGUCGCCAGGCAUGCAAGUGGUACACAGACAUACAUGCAGGCAAGACACCCACAGGCAUGAAAUAGAAAAUUUAGGAAAGUAAUACAUAUUUACUGUAGGAAAAUUGGAAACAUACUUUAAAUAUAUGAAAACAAAAACUAGUCCAUUCCUUUGAAAUAGCUGUAGAAAAUGUUUGAUGAAUUUCACCAUGUAUGAAUGCCUCAUGUAUGAAUUCACCAUGUAUAAAUGCCUCAUGUAUGAAUUCACCAUGUAUGAAUUCACAAUGUAUGAAUGCAACAUGACUCAGGUGACAGAGCUGGAUAUUUGUGUUGCUUCUGUGUUGUUUUUGUUUUUAGAUUUAUUUUAUGUGCUCUAGCUGCAUGUACACCUUUAUGCCAGAAGAGGGUAUCAGAUCCCACUAGAGAUAGUUGUGAGCCACCAUGUGGUUGCUGGGAAUUGAACUCAGGACCUCUGGAAGAGCAGCCAGUGCUCUGAACCUCUGAGCCAUCUCUCCAGCCUGUUUUUGUUUUUUGUUUUUUGUUUUUUUUUGUUAGUUUGAUUGGUUGGUUGGUUAUUUAUUUAUUUAAUUUUAUGUGUAUGAAUGUUUUGCCUGCAUGGAUGUAUGUGCACCAUGUGAAUGCCUGUGCCCACAGAGGUCACAAGAGAAUAUUGGAUCCCCUUGGAACUGGAGUUACAGUUAAACUACCAUGUGGUUACUGGGAAUUGAACCCAGGUCCUCUGCAAGAACAGAAAUGCUCUAACCUGUUGAGCCAUCUCUCUAGUCUUUUGGUUCCUUUUAUUGACAAUCUAAAUAGAGCUGCCCUGAACAUCCUUCUGCAUCAAUCCUUGUAUGAGUCUCAGACUUAAGAUUUUCUACCAAAGAUUAUUUCUACCAGAUAAUUCACAGGUUUAGGAGUGGAAUGCUAAGGGCCCUAUGUAGACUAAAGGUUCUUCAGAGCGGUGGCACUAAUCUGCAGGGCUCUGCUGUGGAAGGUAUGAGAAUUCUCCCCACCAGAACACUGUCAUUCAAGACAAAAUAAUAUUCAAAAUGGAAAAGUAAAGCACAAGAGGGCUCCUGUCUUGCUUGUCCUGGGUGCUGGGGCCAUGCACAUGCUGGCAAGUGCCUCACCAUUGAGGCACCGUGUCUUCAGUCAGUCACCAGGAGCCCUUGACAACAGCACUUGACAAUUCUUGACAUCUUGCACUGGAUGAUUCCUAACUGUAUGAUCUGUCCUGAUAUGUGAGAUGGCUCAGCAUCCCUGGCUGACCAUUAGAUGAUGGUGUGAUGGUGGUGCCCUUCCUCCCCAUUUUCAUAACCCCAAAUACCUCCAGAUAGUCCCAAAUGUCCCCUGGCAACAAAACCACCCCUAGUUAGGAACAGCUGUGUCACACUGCAUGACCUCUUUAUUGGCUUUAAGUAAUAGGACCAACUCAAAACAAACAAGAGGAACCUGUGCAAAGAAUCUUAAUGGGCUCUUGGAACCCAGGGGCAGGGAUGCAAUGGGCCUUCUCUUUGUGGAUCAGAUUCUUUCUUUUCUCUUGUUGCAGAUGGGCUUUCUGUACAUGCUUCAGUGCAUGGCGAGAAAGGACACCUCUAGCAGAUCUGAAGCUAAUGCGAAGUCAAGACCACGGUAGAAUCUCUUUCCAAAUCCAGAUUCGUAGGGAGGGACUCUGAUUGACCUGGACUGUGGUGGGUCGUGCAUGGCUGAUCCAGUCAGUGCUGCUGUUCAUUGAGCACAGGACACAGGGUCCUUGGAGUCUUGCUGUAAUUGCUAUGCAGAUGUGCAGUUCCUGGAAAGGAAGCGGGAAGGAAGCAGCUGGACCACUGGUGUAGGAAUCCCCUAGACAGUGUACGUUUGAAGGAGGUUUAGGGAGUUCACGCACAAGUGUGCAGAUAUCCAAGCUGCACAGUGCCUGAGAGAGAGGGCAGGGACCAUCUUCAAGCUUGACUGUUACCUCAGUCCCACUAGACUUCUAGCUAGGCCUAUGGGUGACAAUUACCACGCCACCCAGCCUUUGGUUUAGGGGCCUCUGUGGGGCAGCAUAGCUUACUCAGGCAAGUCCACUCUAGAGAGAGAACUUGAGAGUCUGGCAUUUGCAAGUCCAUAAAGAUGUUUUAUGUAGGAAAUUGCUGCCGUCUGCCUUCAUGGUGCUGGCUGGAGUGUGCAGACACUGAUGUAGCGCAGGCGAACACUACUCCUGUGCACUCAGGGACUCAGUCUCCGCCUCCAGGAAGGGGGCAGUUGGUGCUGGAUCAGGACUGCCCUGAGGCCCAGCCCCUGGGUGGCAGGUUAUUGCCUGAGAGGACCCUGCCCUGAGGGCUGCAGGAUCACCACCAGUUGUUUUGACGCAGUGCUUUCUAAGGACUGCCCACCUCCUGCCAAGCCAUAAAUAUCCCAAAGUCUGAAUAUGAUCUAUUCACCCCUGUGCCCAGAACUUGGGCAGUGUGGUUGUUUUAAGAAUUUAUUGAUUUUUAUUUUACGUGUAUAGGUGUUUUCCCUGCAUGUAUGUCUGUGCAUCACAUAUGUGUCACAUGCCUGGUGCCCAUGGAGGCGGAAGAGGGCAUCGGAUUCUCUGAAACUGGAGUUACAGAUGGUUGUGGUUGCUGGGAAUUGAACCCAGGACCUCCGGGAGAGCAGCCAGUGCUCUUAACCUCUGCACCAUCUUUCCAACCCCACACAUUGUGCAGCAGAGCAAUAAGUGAGCCUCACCUUGUGCCAGGAUGCUGUGCCAUAGAGGCAGCCAUCAUCUCCACCCCAAUGAAGGAAUUAAACUCUAAGAGAAAGGACCCUUCCAAGUCCCCACAGCCUGGUGCUGGGACCUCAUCCGCCCUCUGCAGCAGCUCAUGAGAGUAUUGGAUUGUUGCCAGUUUACAGAUAUGGUACAUGAGACUCAUAUCCGCAAACUACGGCUCUAUGUACUCUGUUCAGGGUGUCCACGGGGACAUGAACAUCAUCCUCUGGCCAAUUCAGGUACCUUGUUGUCAGUGAACUUCCAGGGGAGUUUGUUAGCUGAGCAUUCCUUGGAAUCUAAACCUCCAGACAGAAAUCUCAAACUGACCUGAGGUGUGAGGAGGAAGGCCUGGCAGCUGCGUAGCCGCACCCAAGCGUCCUUCAGGAGCUUAUGACAUAGAUGACCUAGGCCGCUGGGGUACGUGGUCAGUCUCUCCUAACCAAAGUGCACCCGCCCCUCAGCGUGUGGAGCCAAAGCCUUGGGCUCUCCCGUCUUCCUGGAAUUGUAUCUUCAGCUCCAGAACAACAUUUUGUUUUUCCUUUUUUAUUUAUUUUAAUUUUACGUGCAUUGGUGUUUUGUCUGCAUGCAUGUCUGUGUGAGGGCGUCAGAUCUUGGAGUUACAGACAGUUGUGAGCUGUCAUGUGGAUGCUGGGAAUUGAACUCAGGUCCUCUGGAAGAACAGUCAGUGCUCUUAACCGCUGAGCCGUCUCUCCAGCCCCGGAAAUGAUUUUCAAAAGAAAUCGUUUUUGAUCACGAAUGAUGAAGGAACAAUUCCUUGGUUUUCUGCUUCUGUUUUGUUUUUUGUGGUUCUGGGGGUGAAAGCAGGUCUUGUGCCCUCUUGGCAAGUGCUCUGCCACUGCGCACAUCCCUAACCUAUAGUUAUUUAUUGCAAGCAGUAGAAACUAGUUAUGCACUGGGCGGCGGUGGCGCACGCCUUUAAUCCCAGCACUUGGGAGACAGAGGCAGGCGUAGCUCUGUGAGUUCGAGGCCAGCCUGGUCUACAGAGCGAGAUCCGGGACAGGCACCAAAACUACACAGAGAAACCCUGUCUCGAAUGACAAAAACAAAACAAAACACCAGAAUUUAAACAUAAUGGAUGCCAAGUACAUAAAUAAACGAAAUAUACUUACUAUGAAGAAAUUCAUAUGAAUGUCAUCCAGCUUGUAAUAGCAAUAAUGCAAAAAAAAAAUCAGAGCCAUUCGAUAAAGCAAUUUUGACUUUUGACAUGAGCUAACCCAGAGGGUAAAGGCACCUGCCUCCAAGCCGGAAGACCGGAGUUCGAUCUCCACAUAGUAGGAGAGACCAGACUCCCGAAAGUUCCCUCUGACCUUCACACAGGCAUUUACUGUGGCUGUAAACUGUAAAAAAAUGUAAAAUAGAAUUUGUGAUGGAAUUAUUAUGUAAAUAAUAACUGAAAUAUUCAACUUUUUAAAACUGAAUUUGUUCUGUACCAUCUUAUUUAGAAAUAUAUUUUAUACUUUUUUCUUUGAAAAAAAAAAGAAGAAACUGGCUAUGGAAAACCUGGACAUUUCUGGAAGGAUAAGGAGAGGUCAGAGGAUCAAAGAAAAGAGAAAAAGACAAAAGAAAAACACGGUUGGGCACUGGGCUGUGUUGUGGGUCUUCAUGACAGGACACAUCUAACAGUGACUCUGUUUGUCACUCUUCACAGGGAAGGCGAGGAUGGAGACCAGUGGGUUUUGACUGACACUGUGGCUGCGUGGAGAAUGACCAAGGAGGAAGACAGAGAUGGCUUUGCAGAACUCUUUAUGACAUGGUGAUAGUCGCUCAAAGUAAACAACUCUAGUACUAUUUCUCCUCAGGAGUAGCCAUGGGGUAGAAAACAGAAAUCUGCCAGUUGGCCACAACGGGUUGUUGAUUCAUUUACUCGGAAAGACAGAUAGCCCGAGGCAAGGGUCUCACUGAUUCCUCUGCGUUGUGAAUGAUUCAGCCAGAUGGACUGAAUCUGGGAGGGGUAAGAUUCAGGGCUUGGUGAUAGGGACUUUUAGGAAAAAGGGUUUGUGUAUGAGCCUCUUGGAGUGAGCACUGUCGAUAUCCACUGAAUUAUUACUGGUAACCGGGUAGACAAGAUGGCCCACUUUUUGCCUGUCCGUUAAUAUUCAUCACCAGUGACACAGGGUUUGUUUAGUCUGCUGCAAAACAGUGGUUCUGGUGACUCAGCUGAGGGAGCAGCUUGGGCUUAACCACAUGGACUCACUGAGACUUACCUAGAUACUGCCAUUUUUGAAUGUCCAACUUUCUGAAGGAGAAAUCAACCCUGAGCUCAUGAUUUGGUACCACCAGCCAACCAGUGAUUUGAGUUCCCUGACAUGGAAGGGUUUCACAGUCUCCUAGAACAGGCAUUCCCAGUGGAAUAAGGCUACCAUCAACCAGUGAUUUUUAUAGUGAUGGGGGUCUGCCGGCCUUUGGUCUUUGCUUGCUUCUUUGCCGAAGGUUAGAUUCCUGAUGAACUAGGCAGAGAGACCUUGCUGCUACAGAUAGAUCAAGAGUCCAGAGGCAGGUCUGGAGAGAUGGCUCAGCAAUUAAGAGCAUUGGCUGCUCUUCCAGAGGACCUGAGUUCAAUUCCAAGCACCCACAUGGUGACUCACAAGCAGCUAUAACUCCAGCUCCGGGGAUUCGACACCUCCUGGCUUCUGUAAGCACCGGGCACACAUGUGGUUCAUAGACAUACAUGCAGGGAAAACACUCAAAACAUAAAACAUUUUCUUAAAAGAGCCCAGAGACAACCAGUGAGAUGGUAUGUGAGUCGGGAGCAGUGACCAGAGUGAGCGAAAAGCCAUUAGCUCCGUUCAUGCUUGGCAUGGGCUCAGUGUUGCAGUAUGGUGAGGUGUGUUGGGGGCAGUAUGUGUACUGCGUGCUAGGGAGGGAAGAGAGUGGAGGGCAGUUUCUGUUCUCUCAUCCAGUCAGGAUCUAGCAUGGAUUCUGCCACAGUAGCUCAUACACUGAGUGGUAAAAACAAUAAAUAAAUAAAAGAGUGAAUUAAUCUAGAUGUCCUUUGACCUGCGGUGAUUGUCUAGCCUGUCCCCAGCCAGGAGGGACGUCCUUUGUUAGCAUUCCCCAGUUAGAAGCCGCCUUUGCUGAAAUCUGUCCGGGCUUACAUUCGGAGGCAUCCUGCUCUCUGUGCACUAACCGCACGUGAGCUCAAACCUGUCACACGCACGGACCAAUGGUGACGAUGAGCUUCGAGGACUUGCUCAAGGUCGCACAAUUAGUAAAUAACAGAGCCAGGAACCAAGGCAAAAAGCCUUGGACUCUGCAGCUUGAGUGCUGUCUGCACUGCUCGAGUACAUAUUCAAACUGCAGCUGUCACCUCCCAGGAGCCCCGUGUUAGCUAGUGUGUCUGUUAGAUAAAGUCUCCCCUGGGCUGAAGGAUGGCUUGGUGGGUGAAGGCCCUUGUCACCAGGCUUGAUGACCUGAGUUCAGUGCCGGCAUCUGGAUGAUGGAAAGAGAGAAGUGACUCCAGCAAGUUGUCCUCUGACCUCCGUACAUCCAUGCCAGGUGUGUGCACAUGCACAUGCACAUGCACAAUAAAUGUGAUGAAAAUUUUAGAGAGAAAGCAUUCCCAUUUUGUUCAGUGGAAACACACCUCCCUAUUUAAUUCACACGUGCGGUUCUAAGUGUUAGCUGAGAACUUUCCUCCUUUCUUCUCCACGGCUUUCUGGGUCUCAGAGGCCACCAUACAUCCUGGUCCUACCUAGCCCCACCCCAUACCGAAGGAGCUCUAAUUCUCCAGACUGUGACUCUCAGGUCAAGCAAGGUGAAGACUAGCCAGUGCAGUUUCAGGCUUAUUAUUUGCUGUCUAGACACUGCAGUCAUUAAUCCCAUUUCACCUCACAUUAGGUUUUUUGGCAAGAGAAAUUCUGUCACCGGUCUGGUCUUCUUGACUGAAUCACUGAAGAGCAUGGCUCAAACAGGAAGUCCUAGGAGAGGGCAAGACCUGCAGGCUUCCCUGGGUCACCUGCGAUUCUGGAGCCGGUAUCUAAGUACCAGGGCGAGAGGAAAGGGGAGUGGGCCGCACACAACCGAGUGCUGCGCUGGUGUGGGGUACUUGGCGACUGUCUUUUCUGAGGAGUCCGCAGGUGCUUGUAUGCAGAUGCGCACACGGCGGAGCAGGAAAAGCCAGAGCAGCGGCUGAGCCUCAUCUGCCCACAUCUUUCCAGUCUCACUUGAAAGCCAAAGUCCAGACUGAAUGGAGCUUUGCACUGCAUUGUGUUCUCCACAUUCGUUUGCCCCACAGGGAGAUAAAGAUGGCUGUUCACACCUGUGCGGAAACCCAGACAUCCAGAGGGCAGCCUGUGGCAGGACUUGGAGCAGUCUCCGAGCCCUAGGGCCCAGCACCGCUGAACAGGUCUUGUCCAGCCUCUGACUGCCGGCUGGUGGCUUCAGUUCUGUAACGCAUGUCUCCCAUGGAGCCUAUGAUAAUUGCCUUUGAUUUCCUCCUAAUUGAGAUUGCAUGUGGCUCCCGAUGGUUACUCCAUUGACCUUCUGGAGUCCUCCAAUGGGGGGUUCCGGGGGAACCCUAGUGUGUGCAGCAGGCAGAGGAAGGCCGAGUAGGCUUCAGCUCUCCUCCUCUCUGGCAUUUGCUCAUCUUUUCCGUCCUGGAUGCUGUCUAGUCUCCAGGGUGGCCAAUGAGAGAGGGAGUCUGAGGAGCCUGACCCCUCGGAGAACUUUAGAGCCCCUGCCCCCGAGGGGGUGCUUUUUCUCUUAUUAUGUGCGUUUGAGUUUGUAAGCAUCAGAGCUCAGUAGCUCGGUGCUUUGCCUGGACCUGGGGAGCAGCUUUGCCAGCAGUAAAGAAGUCUGUGCAUUACCAGGAAGAGGCCUAGAUUUGGGUCUCCGCUGUGUGACCUUGAGUAUAUUAUCCAAUGUCUCUGAGACUGGGGUUUCCUAUCUAUCUGUUAUCUGGGGAGAGAAAUGCUGCCUUGCCCACCUGACAGUAUUGAGCUGUGGACGGGGAAAGGGUCUGUAAUGUUAGGUGCUGGGAUGAUGAAGGUGCUAAGGCUGGGCAUUAGCAUCAGUACUCUGGUUGUGCCAGCAGGUGUGGGGUGGUGGCUUCCCUUCUCACUCUGGCUUAUUGUGAGGUUUUUUUUUUUAAAGAUUUAUUUAUUAUGUAUACAGUAUUCUGCCUACAUGCAUGCUUGCAGGCCAGAAGAGGGCACCAGAUCUCAUUACAGAUGGUUGUGAGCCACCAUGUGGUUGCUGGGAAUUGAACUCAGGACCUCUGGAAGAACAACUAACCGCUGAGCCAUCUCUCCAGCCCCCUUAUUGUGAAUUUUAAGAAUGAUUGUGAGUUUAUGGUGGGAGUCAGGGUUGCUUACAGAGCCAUGGUGGUGAGGUUAUUCCCCAGUAGGAAGGCUCAUGAGUCGGGGCAUUAAUACUCUGAAUUCCUUAGUGCCAGGCACACCGACUUUAGGGAGUCAGGUGGAAUUGGGAGCAGAAUUCAGCUCUGGCCAGGCCAGGUGGGCAGAACUGUGCACGGCAGUCUCCAGGCCGGACCCUGUGGCAUCAAAUACACAGCCGCUCUAAGGCUUGCAGCCAUCUCCCUCCCAGCACAGUGAAGACUGCUGUGCCCUGCUGAGUUUGGACUUGGGGGCCCUGCAGCCAGGAGCAGGGAAGACUUGGAUUCUCAAACCUGGUGCAGUCUAUAGGAGCCCUGGGCGGCAGGGUUUCCUGCCAAACUCAGGAGGAUUUCUGUUCCGACGUCUCUGCCUGAACGAUCCCAGGUUUUCUCCCUGGCAUCAAGAGGAUGGUAAAGGCCGUCAGAGCCUGGGGUUUCCACCAGAGCAGGGAAGCAUCUUAGUCCCCUGUUCCACACUGCCCCUUGUGAGCUGUGGCUUGGGGACAGAUUUCACCACUUGCCACAACGAAGGAGGUACCAGAGGCCACAGAGGCCAUAGCUCUGGAAACAUUGGACUCUGGUCCACACUCUGGGCCUGAGACAGGGUAAGUCACAAACACUUUCUGUGUCUCAGGUUCUCCGUCCACAGAAUGAGGUUCAUGCUCUCCACCUCAGCACAGUGGAGUUUCAGGCAGUGAGACUGCCCUGGGCAGCACUGCCGUGGUUGGCUCGUGACGUCAUACAUUUGCCCAAACCCAAGCAAGGCACAGAAGCAUUGAGAGUGAGCGCUGGGUGACAGUGAUGUGUCCCUGAAGGCUGUAUAGUCGGCUCACCCUGAGGCUGGACACUGAGGAGGACACGACAUGGAGGGGGUGCUAUGUGGGAAUUCUGUACCUUCUGCUCAAUUUUCCCGUCAGCCUAAAAGAUUUAAAAAGAAGAAAAAAAGAAAGUCGUGGCUGGAGAUAAGGCUUGGCGGUUAUGAGUAAAUGUUCUUGCGGAGGAUCAGGGUUCAGUUCCUAGCACUCACCGGGAGGCUUACAAACCACCUGUAAUUCCAGUUCCAGGGACCAACGCUCUCUUCUGGUCUCUUCAGCACUGGGUAUGCGAACAGUACACAAACAUACAUACAGGCAAAACACUCAUAUACAUAAAAUAAAUAAAUAAGUCAAGGAAUCAGCAAACACCAAAACAAAAAAGUCAUCAACAAUGAUGACUAAUAAUUAUUACACUUAAGACUUGAAUAUUCGGCGGGUUUGUAUGUGUGUGCACGCACACAUGUGGAGGUCAGAGAACACGGAGUUAGGACUCACCUUGGGUCCUGGGACUUGAACUCACGCCAUCAGGUUUGGUGGCCAGCACCUUUACCAGCUGAGACAUUUUACAGGCCUCGAUCUUUCCUCUUUCAUCUCCGUAUCAAGUCUUGGACCAUGCAUCACUGUGGCAAGAUCAGGAGGAUGGGAUCCCACCUGUCUCCUGACGCCUCCCGCCUGCCUGCUGAGCACAGGAGUGGGUGGCCAUGCUCUUAAGGGUUUGUUUUAUUCAUUGCCCUCAAGGCCUUCAUUUUCUUUAUUCCUCCCGAGCCUGCUGGAAGGCAUGAUACCUCAGGAGCUGAGUAACGGCAGGAGAUUCCUCCAGAAGUGUGUGUGUGUGUGUGUGUGUGUGUGUGUGUGUGUGUGUGUGUGUGUGGUGAGGGGUUCUCUGAAGAGAGUCAGAGAAGGGGCUGGAACAGCAGCUGAGGUCCUGGGUUGUCAUUUCCAGCCCCGAGGUCUGGGGAGCCCUUGGCUCUCAACUAUUUUUUUAAAAUACAAAGCAGGCUACAGCCAGGGGAAUCCUUCCUGUGUGGUGUGGACGGGAUGUAAAAUGGGGCAGCCCCUGUGGAAAACAGAAUGGCCGCUCUUUCCACGAUUAAAAACGUUUAACAAAGUGAUCUAGCAAUCCUGCCCCUGAGUGUUCACCCUCUGGAACUGAAAGCAGUCGGGAGGAGCCAGGAGCCAGGAGGUGAAAGCAGUCCUGUACACUGAUGGACAGUGGAUAAAUAUGACACCACGUGACUGCACAAGGGGAUCAUGAUCAGCCCGGAAAAGGAGGACAGUUCUGAGGCUUGCCACAGCACACGUGAACCCUGAGGACAUUGUGCUAAGUGAAAUAAGCCAGCCACAAAAGGAACAAUACGAUUUGAGUCCAUCUGCAAGGGAGGUACCCGGAAUAGCCAGAUCUGUAAUGACAGGAGGUAGAAUGGCUGUGACUCCGGCCGCAGGAGACAGCAAGGAGCUGUUUUGUGACCCAGUUUGAGGUUUUAAGAUGAAAGAUGAUCGGGAAAGUGGUUUGUCGCGUGCACAUUAGCACUGGCAAGGAUUUUUGACAUCAUAGGCUAGGUCAAGCGGAGGCUGGGCUAGGAGGAAAGUGUAGGCAAGAGGCUUCAGAUUGUAAGGCAGCUGGUUCACUGUAAAUAUUUGCAUACACUUACAGAGGGUUUGGAAUAUAUAUAUUUUAUGUAGCCCAGGAUGGCCAGGAACUCCUGAUCUUCCUGGCUUAGUCUCCUGGGUGCUGGGAUUACAGGUGUGUACCACCACAAGUGGCUAGAUGAUGCGCGCGCGCGCGCGUGUGUGUGUGUGUGUGUGUGUGUGUGUGUGUGUGUGUGUGUGUAGCCACAAUUUAAAAUAAAAUAAAGUAGCUGGGAGUAGAGACAUGCACCUUUAAUCCCAGCACUUGGGAAGCAGAGGCAGAUGGAUCUCUGAGUUUGAGGCCAGCCUGGUCUACCCAGUGAGUUCCAGGACAGCCAGAGCUACACAGAGAAACCCUGUCUC
Molecule: long non-coding RNA, 12697 nt
Organism: Peromyscus californicus insignis
Lineage: Eukaryota; Metazoa; Chordata; Mammalia; Rodentia; Cricetidae
Exons: 3
Source: RefSeq, a predicted model, not a curated record